Molecule: transfer RNA, 72 nt
Filed under: Myotis brandtii (Brandt's bat)
Lineage: Eukaryota; Metazoa; Chordata; Mammalia; Chiroptera; Vespertilionidae
Rfam family: tRNA
About the family: Transfer RNA (tRNA) molecules are approximately 80 nucleotides in length. Their secondary structure includes four short double-helical elements and three loops (D, anti-codon, and T loops). Further hydrogen bonds mediate the characteristic L-shaped molecular structure. tRNAs have two regions of fundamental functional importance: the anti-codon, which is responsible for specific mRNA codon recognition, and the 3' end, to which the tRNAs corresponding amino acid is attached (by aminoacyl-tRNA synthetases). tRNAs cope with the degeneracy of the genetic code in two manners: having more than one tRNA (with a specific anti-codon) for a particular amino acid; and 'wobble' base-pairing, i.e. permitting non-standard base-pairing at the 3rd anti-codon position.
Source: Rfam by way of RNAcentral
GCCGGUGUGGCUCAGUGGAUAGAGCGUCGGCCUGAGGACUAAAGGGCUCCGGUUCGAUUCCGGUCAAGGGCA